GAUGAACGCUGGCGGCGUGCUUAACACAUGCAAGUCGAACGAUGAAGCCCAGCUUGCUGGGUGGAUUAGUGGCGAACGGGUGAGUAACACGUGAGUAACCUGCCCUUAACUCUGGGAUAAGCCUGGGAAACUGGGUCUAAUACCGGAUAGGAGCGUCCACCGCAUGGUGGGUGUUGGAAAGAUUUAUCGGUUUUGGAUGGACUCGCGGCCUAUCAGCUUGUUGGUGAGGUAAUGGCUCACCAAGGCGACGAUGGGUAGCCGGCCUGAGAGGGUGACCGGCCACACUGGGACUGAGACACGGCCCAGACUCCUACGGGAGGCAGCAGUGGGGAAUAUUGCACAAUGGGUGCAAGCCUGAUGCAGCGACGCCGCGUGAGGGAUGACGGCCUUCGGGUUGUAAACCUCGUUCAGUAGGGAAGAAGCGAAAGUGACGGUACCUGCAGAAGAAGCACCGGCUAACUACGUG
Molecule: ribosomal RNA, 466 nt
Filed under: uncultured bacterium
Lineage: Bacteria
Description: partial 16S ribosomal RNA
Rfam family: Bacterial small subunit ribosomal RNA
Source: RNAcentral